RNAcentral lists this ribosomal RNA (1146 nucleotides) under Triticum aestivum (bread wheat). Its description in RNAcentral is "partial small subunit ribosomal RNA". Lineage: Eukaryota; Viridiplantae; Streptophyta; Magnoliopsida; Poales; Poaceae. The record is from RNAcentral.
AUGGCCACGCCAAAGGGUGCUGACCACCUUCUCAGAAGGAUGGAUGAGAUUGAAUCAAAUAUUAGAAGCUUUAUGAAUUUCCAAUUUGAGCAUAAUAAUUUCUUUAGAAAAGAGCUUAAGGAACAAAAAAGUUUUUUGGGGUUUAUAAACAAAGAGCUUGAUGAUAUUAACAAAGAUUUCUAUGGUGUUAAUGCUCAAAUUACCCGGCUUGAAAAUGCUAUAGCCAAAGUUUCUGACAAGCAAGCCACCUUAGUCAAUAAGAUGUCCGCUAAACCAGAAAAAUUACAUGAAAAUAAUGAUGAGGAUCUUAAAGUUAUUGAUGCGUCUCCGAUUAGAUCUAUGUUUUGCAAUAUGAAUUUUGAUGAUUAUGGGACUGAUGAUGAAUCAACUUUGCCUAGAAGGCGUCCCAAGAAUUCGGAGUCUUUAGAUCUUAAUGCUAAAUUUGGUAAAAGUGAGAUUGGAGAAUCCUCAACUUCUAAUAACAUUGAACCCACUAUCUCGGAUUUCAAGGAAUUUGACUAUGAUAAUUGCUCUUUAAAAGGUUGUAUUUCCUUGUUGCAAUCCGUUGUUAAUUCUCCUCACACUUAUAGUCAAAACAAAGCUUUUACCAAAUGUAUUGUUGAUGCCUUGAUGCAAUCUUAUGAUGAAAAACUUAAUUUGGAAGUUUCUAUACCUAGAAAACCUAAUGAAGAGUGGGAACCUACUAUAAAGAUUAGAAUUAAAGAUUAUGAGUGUUUUGCUUUGUGUGAUUUGGGUGCUAGUGUUUCCACGAUUCUGAAAACUUUAUGUGAUAUUCUAGGUUUCCAUGAUCUUGAAGAUUGCUCUUUAAAUUUGCACCUCGCGGAUUCCACCAUUAAAAAGCCUAUGGGAAGGAUCAAUGAUGUUCUUAUUAUUGCAAAUAGAAAUUUGGUGCCCGUAGAUUUUAUCGUUCUUGAUAUAGAUUGCAAUCUUUCUUGCCCUAUUAUUCUUGGUAGACCUUUCCUUAGAACGAUUGGUGUGAUUAUUGAUAUCAAGGAAGGGAACAUUAGAUUCCAAUUUCCCUUAAAGAAAGGCAUGGAGCACUUUCCAAGAAAUAAAGUCAAAUUACCUUAUGAAUCUAUCAUGUGUACUACUUAUGAAUCAACUGCCAAAGACGGUACUACUUGA